GGAUAGCUCAGUCAGUAAAGCAUGGGACCCUUAAUCUCAGGGUUGCGGGUUCAAGCUCCACAGUCGGCA
Molecule: non-coding RNA, 69 nt
Organism: Podarcis lilfordi (Lilford's wall lizard)
Lineage: Eukaryota; Metazoa; Chordata; Lepidosauria; Squamata; Lacertidae
Source: the annotation of a GenBank genome assembly